GGCAUCCGGAACUGUCAGGCUAGAGUGCAGGAGAGGAAGGUAGAAUUCCCGGUGUAGCGGUGAAAUGCGUAGAGAUCGGGAGGAAUACCAGUGGCGAAGGCGGCCUUCUGGACUGACACUGACACUGAGGUGCGAAAGCGUGGGUAGCAAACAGGAUUAGAUACCCUGGUAGUCCACGCCGUAAACGAUGUCGACCAGCCGUUGGGUGCCUAGAGCACUUUGUGGCGAAGUUAACGCGAUAAGUCGACCGCCUGGGGAGUACGGCCGCAAGGUUAAAACUCAAAUGAAUUGACGGGGGCCCGCACAAGCGGUGGAGCAUGUGGUUUAAUUCGAUGCAACGCGAAGAACCUUACCUACCCUUGACAUCUACAGAAGCCGGAAGAGAUUCUGGUGUGCCUUCGGGAACUGUAAGACAGGUGCUGCAUGGCUGUCGUCAGCUCGUGUUGUGAAAUGUUGGGUUAAGUCCCGUAACGAGCGCAACCCUUGUCCUUAUUUGCCAGCGAGUAAUGUCGGGAACUCUAAGGAGACUGCCGGUGACAAACCGGAGGAAGGUGGGGACGACGUCAAGUCAUCAUGGCCCUUACGGGUAGGGCUACACACGUGCUACAAUGGCCGGUACAAAGGGCUGCGAGCUCGCGAGAGUCAGCGAAUCCCUUAAAGCCGGUCUCAGUCCGGAUCGGAGUCUGCAACUCGACUCCGUGAAGUCGGAAUCGCUAGUAAUCGUGAAUCAGAAUGUCACGGUGAAUACGUUCCCGGGCCUUGUACACACCGCCCGUCACACCAUGGGAGUGGACUGCACCAGAAGUGGUUAGCCUAACGCAAGAGGGCGA
The sequence is a ribosomal RNA, 830 nucleotides long. It matches the Rfam family "Bacterial small subunit ribosomal RNA", at positions 622 to 1453 of the family's 1533-position model.